RNAcentral lists this ribosomal RNA (496 nucleotides) under uncultured bacterium. RNAcentral's name for it is "partial 16S ribosomal RNA". It matches the Rfam family "Bacterial small subunit ribosomal RNA", at positions 29 to 507 of the family's 1533-position model. The record is from RNAcentral.
AUGCACGCUGGCGGCGUGCCUCAUACCUGCAAGUCGAGCGAACAGACGAGGAGCUUGCUCCUCUGACGUUAGCGGCGGACGGGUGAGUAACACGUGGAUAACCUACCUAUAAGACUGGGAUAACUUCGGGAAACCGGAGCUAAUACCGGAUAAUAUAUUGAACCGCAUGGUUCAAUAGUGAAAGACGGUUUUGCUGUCACUUAUAGAUGGAUCCGCGCCACAUUAGCUAGUUGGUAAGGUAACGGCUUACCAAGGCAACGAUGCGUAGCCGACCUGAGAGGGUGAUCGGCCACACUGGAACUGAGACACGGUCCAGACUCCUACGGGAGGCAGCAGUAGGGAAUCUUCCGCAAUGGGCGAAAGCCUGACGGAGCAACGCCGCGUGAGUGAUGAAGGUCUUCGGAUCGUAAAACUCUGUUAUUAGGGAAGAACAAAUGUGUAAGUAACUAUGCACGUCUUGACGGUACCUAAUCAGAAAGCCACGGCUAACUACGUG